This 253-nucleotide ribosomal RNA is filed under the name uncultured bacterium. Its description in RNAcentral is "partial 16S ribosomal RNA". It matches the Rfam family "Bacterial small subunit ribosomal RNA", at positions 524 to 776 of the family's 1533-position model. The record is from RNAcentral.
UACAGAGGGGGCAAGCGUUAUUCGGAAUUAUUGGGCGUAAAGGGCGCGUAGGCGGCUUUGCAAGUGACGGGUGAAAUCCCUCGGCUUAACCGAGGAACUGCCUGUCAAACUGCAUGGCUUGAGACCGGGAGAGGUGAGUGGAAUUCCCAGUGUAGCGGUGAAAUGCGUAGAUAUCAGGAGGAACACCGGUGGUGUAGACGGCUCACUGGACCGUAACUGACGCUGAGACACGAAAGCGUGGGUAGCAAACAGG